RNAcentral lists this ribosomal RNA (497 nucleotides) under uncultured bacterium. Its description in RNAcentral is "partial 16S ribosomal RNA". It matches the Rfam family "Bacterial small subunit ribosomal RNA", at positions 28 to 507 of the family's 1533-position model. The record is from RNAcentral.
GAUGAACGCUGGCGGCGUGCCUAAUACAUGCAAGUCGAGCGAACAGACGAGGAGCUUGCUCCUCUGACGUUAGCGGCGGACGGGUGAGUAACACGUGGAUAACCUACCUAUAAGACUGGGAUAACUUCGGGAAACCGGAGCUAAUACCGGAUAAUAUAUUGAACCGCAUGGUUCAAUAGUGAAAGACGGUUUUGCUGUCACUUAUAGAUGGAUCCGCGCCGCAUUAGCUAGUUGGUAAGGUAACGGCUUACCAAGGCAACGAUGCGUAGCCGACCUGAGAGGGUGAUCGGCCACACUGGAACUGAGACACGGUCCAGACUCCUACGGGAGGCAGCAGUAGGGAAUCUUCCGCACUGGGCGAAAGCCUGACGGAGCAACGCCGCGUGAGUGAUGAAGGUCUUCGGAUCGUAAAACUCUGUUAUUAGGGAAGACCAAAUGUGUAAGUAACUAUGCACGUCUUGACGGUACCUAAUCAGAAAGCCACGGCUAACUACGUG